Molecule: non-coding RNA, 831 nt
Organism: Schizosaccharomyces pombe (fission yeast)
Lineage: Eukaryota; Fungi; Ascomycota; Schizosaccharomycetes; Schizosaccharomycetales; Schizosaccharomycetaceae
Source: the annotation of a GenBank genome assembly
GGGGGGGGUUUGUUAGAUUAGGUCAAAUUAAAAACUAGAUUGAAACACUUUUGAAAAGCCCGACAAGAGACACUGACGAUUCGCUGUGGCUAAUUUUAUCACUUUCUUGAAAUCGUAACUUUUGCACACACGCUCAAGAAAUUAAAAUGAAAGAGAAAGCAAAUAAUUGUUUUUAUGAUUCAAUGACUAUUUUGACUUCAAGAAGCAGUAAAAUUACAAUGACUUAAUUAAAGUGGAGGCUAGCGAUUCUUGUUCAACCACUCAGCAGUUGCAAUACACAGUUGCUUAUAAAUGCGCAAUUUCAACUUUAAAUAUCAAAUUCGUUCCAUGUGACUGUCCCCCCAUAGCGUAUCAUUUCGAUAAUCUGCUUCCAUCCCUAUAGAUAUAACUAUGCCUCAAAGUAUGAACGCUGUGCUAUCAAAGAAGGUAAAUUGAUAAAGCACGGACCAUGAGUGACAAAAAGGUGCUGCGCACCCAAGAUAACGGGAGCUAACUCCCAAAGUCGCUUAAAGUCAAUACUGUAGGAUAGAUUUGUGAGAUAAACCAGCAAAGGUAUCUACUUUUUAUUGCCGGUUCCGAUUUAAGUGCGAUGGAUUUGGGUACCAUGUGUUUGGAGAGGUUUUGAACAGGUUUGAUGUUGAAGGUUUCAAAACGUUUGAACUUUGUUUAAGGAAUUGGAUCAUGCUGUAGCAGUAGACUUGGUUGAAAGUAAAAACAUGUUAAAAGACUAGUUAGUUUUAAAAAGCAAAAAUCAGUUAUGUCAUUUCUAUGAAAUUGUCGUCUCAGGUUGAAAACGAUAAAAGUAGUUGUGCAUGCAUAAAAAAAGACAAU